CCAAUAUAAGAAUAAUUCUGACUAUUUAAUCCUUUCGUACUAAAACAGCCUCUUAAACAUUAAAAGAUAGAAACCGACCUGGCUCACGCCGGUCUGAACUCAAAUCAUGUAAAAAUUUAAAGGUCGAACAGACCUUCUCUUAUAACUUCUGCAAUUAUAAAGAACUUUUAAUUCAACAUCGAGGUCGCAAACUUUCUUUUCGAUAAGAACUCUCAAAGAAAAUAACGCUGUUAUCCCUAAAGUAACUUAAUCUUGAAAUCCCCAUGCAGGAUCUUUUAAAUAUGCACAUAAUCACCUACCCUUGUCUAAAAAUAAAGCAGUUACUAUUCAUUUUACUUUCAUCGCCCCAAUGCAAUAAGAUUUUUCCAAUAAACCUUUAUAACUUAAAAAUUCGACUUACUACACCAUCUUAUAAAGCUUCAUAGGGUCUUAUCGUCCCUUUAAUUCAUUUAAGCCCUUUCACUUAAAAGUUAACUUCUAUUUUAACUACAAAGACAGACCCUCUUUUGUCCAACCAUUCAUACAAGAUCCCAAUUAAGAAACUAACGAUUAUGCUACCUUUGCACGGUCAGAAUACCGCGGCCCUUUAAUAUUUUAUCAGUGGGCAGGCUAGACCAUCUACAUCUACAGACAGACAUGUUUUUGAUAAACAGGCAAAGAGAUUUCUUGCCGAGUUCCUCUGUAAUUUCAUCAAACUUCUAUACUUAAUUCAAUAUUCUAUUCCACUCCUCGAACACUACUAAAUUUUACUAAUAAAAUCAUUAUAUAUUGUCAUCUAACAUUUUAAACUAUUUUUUGAUACUUAACAAAAGUUUUUAUAAAUAUUAUCUACCUCUUUAUUUAGUUAAAACACUUUAUAAAUUUAGCUACUUUUAAGCCUAAUUAAAAAUUACUUUUAUUAUUUAACUGUUUAAUCUUCUAUUAUAAGAAGCUAUUCCCUCCUAUACUUACUUUUUGUGUUUUAUUUACCCACAAAAGUAAAAUUAAAUUUUUUUUUCAAAAAACCAGAUAAAACAAGACUCGACUGGUAUCUCACCUUUAACUUUAUAUUUAAAAUUUAUUUUCUACGAAAACUCUUUUAUAAACUUAGCUGUUCCUGUUUCGGGACCCCUAUAAAACCUAGAUUAUAUUGAUUUUCCCUGAUACACAAGGUACAAAAUUUAACUUUUACUAUCCCAAUUUAUAAAUCACUUUCCUUCACAGUACUUUUACCCUUUAGUUUUAUUUCUUAUUUCACUAAACGCUACUUAAUUCAAUCACAAAAAAUUAUUUUUCUUAAACUCACUUUAACUAUUACCAAACAAACAAGACAUCAAAUAC
Molecule: ribosomal RNA, 1320 nt
Filed under: Grapsus tenuicrustatus
Lineage: Eukaryota; Metazoa; Arthropoda; Malacostraca; Decapoda; Grapsidae
Description: 16S ribosomal RNA
Source: RNAcentral